UUUUUUCUGGUUUUGUUUUAUUUAUUUUAAUUUAUUUCAUUUUUAUUUUUAUUUUUAUGUUUUACAUUAAAAGUUUUAUUCUUGCUUUGGUUUAAUUUAUUUGGAUGAUUUAUAUACGUACUUAUAUAUUAGAUAUUUAUUUUGUAGUAUUUAUAAUUGAAUAUGAAGUUAUUUUUGAUUCAGUAAUCCAUAUAGGAAGGGUAAAUGUCGUGCCAGCAACCGCGGUUAUACGUUAUUUUCAAUAUUAAAUUUUUUGGUGGUAGAUUAUUUAUUUUUUUUAUAUAUUAUUAUUUUUAUAUUUGGUGGAAUAUUAUUAAUUUAUUUUAUGUAUUUGUUGUUUAUUUUCUAUUUAAGCUAUUAUUUAAACUAGGAUUAGAUACCCUAUUAUUUUAGAAUAAUUUUUUUUGCCAGGGUAGUAUUUUUUUGUUGAUUGAAACCUAAAGAAUUUGGCGGCAUUCUAUCUUUUUAGAGGAACCUGUUCCGUGAAUGAUGUUACACGAUUGGCUUUACUUAUUAUAUUUGCUUGUAUAUUUCCGUUAUCAGAAUAUUUAUUUAUAAUAUUUUCGUGUUUUUUUAUUAAAAUUUAUUUCAGGUCAAGGUGCAGUUUAUUAAUAAGUGGUAAAUGGGUUACAAUAAUUUAAUUUAAAUGGAUGUUCUUUUUAAAUAUUGAGUUGAAGGUGGAUUUAUUAGUAAGUUUUUAUAAUUAUGAAUUCUGAAUUAGUACUGGAUUGUGUACAUAUCGCCCGUCGCUCUCAUUUAUUUGAGAUAAGUCGUAACAAAGUAGAUUUACUGGAAAGUGAAUCUGGUUU
This 809-nucleotide non-coding RNA is filed under the name Ergatettix dorsifera. The record is from RNAcentral. Lineage: Eukaryota; Metazoa; Arthropoda; Insecta; Orthoptera; Tetrigidae.